GGCCCCAUAGCUUAGUCUGGUUGAGCGCUGGUCUUAUAAGCCAGAGGUCCUGAGUUCAAACACAGAUCUCCCAGAUCUGGUAGGGGGAUUCGCGGUCACUGCGUUCCCGCUCAUAAGGUUUGGGUGUCUUUGAAAGUCUCGGUGGGGCCA
This 150-nucleotide transfer RNA is filed under the name Candidatus Woesearchaeota archaeon. RNAcentral's name for it is "tRNA-Ile". The stretch from base 8 to 65 matches the Rfam family "tRNA", at positions 8 to 63 of the family's 71-position model. Lineage: Archaea; Nanobdellati; Candidatus Woesearchaeota. The record is from RNAcentral.